Benincasa hispida (wax gourd) is the source of this 654-nucleotide non-coding RNA. NCBI's taxonomy places the organism in Eukaryota, Viridiplantae, Streptophyta, Magnoliopsida, Cucurbitales, Cucurbitaceae. The record is from RefSeq and is a predicted model, not a curated record.
AAUUUUUAUUACGCAGAAACAAAGUAAAUAGAAGUACUUCUGAUCUGAAGACUGAACAGAGGCAGCGAUGGAGAAAUCUGCGGUGGCGGCGGCAAUUUUGUGCUUCUUCCUACUUUCUGCGGUGGCGGUGCCGGUGCUGGUUUCAGCCGACGCUGCUGACUGCAUCGACGGCUGUUUCACCGCUUGUGUCCAGAAAGACGCGAGGCUGACGCAGCGUUGUGAGGGCAAGUGUAGAAUUAAGUGCGGUCCAGAUAACGAAGUUGACGAAAAUAUUACUCGUUGAGACACAUCAAAUAAAAAAGGGCAUCAAUGUUGCGAGAAACUUACCUCCUUCUGUUGUAAUAAAGAAAGAUGAGGAAAAAUAGUACAUGUAUGUCAUAAACCAAUGCUUUUUUUCCCACAUGUUGCAUUUUAUAAAAAUGCUCCUUUUGUGGGAUAUGUGUUGUUUUUUCCUUUUGCAUUUGAAUUAAACCAUAUUGUUUGGUAUUGUGGGAGAUCAAUUUCAGUCUAACAUUGAGGAGGUGUUGGGAGAGUUGAGUUGGUUGGGAAAAAACGUCAAUCUAGAGAAAAUAAAAACGGUGAAUUUAAAAUCUGUCGUUUUACUUCCUCUCAACACUCCCUAAAUCGGUGUGUUUUCUUUAACUCUCUUCUUAA